RNAcentral lists this long non-coding RNA (439 nucleotides) under Pan troglodytes (chimpanzee). RNAcentral's name for it is "lincRNA". Lineage: Eukaryota; Metazoa; Chordata; Mammalia; Primates; Hominidae. The record is from RNAcentral.
UUCUUUCGCUUAAUAUUUUCAGAGCACCUACCUAUUACAGGCACUGUCACUUCUCACAAAACUGGGACAACUAACUGUUUAUCCAACAUCUGCUGGCUAAAUAAAGACAUGAUCUUCACCUUUUGGGAUUGUCAAUUUAAAAUGGUUCCAUAAGAGCAAUGCAAAGACAGAGAUAUUUGGCAGCACUGCAGCUGGUGAUUUAUAUGGCUCUUCACAAGGUGUUAUUUUGGGGUAUCAAGGUAUGGAUGCUUAAAUCAGCUGCAGGAAGUAAGAAAGAAGAAAAAAAGAGUGAUAAAGAUAAAAAAAAUCAACCUUGGUCCUUCCACCAAGACCCAUUAAUUUCCAUAUCAUCAUCUGCAUAAGAGGGAAGAUUCCUACAUGACCAGGUUACUGCAAGGAUGUGAAUUUUGAAUAUUAAAAUAUUAUAUACAAUUGGAAA